GGCUUAACACAUGCAAGUCGAGCGGUAACAGGGGUAGCUUGCUACCCGCUGACGAGCGGCGGACGGGUGAGUAAUGCUUAGGAAUCUGCCCAGUAGUGGGGGAUAGCCCGGGGAAACCCGGAUUAAUACCGCAUACGUCCUACGGGAGAAAGCAGGGGAUCUUCGAACCUUGCGCUAUUGGAUGAGCCUAAGUCGGAUUAGCUAGUUGGUGGGGUAAAGGCCUACCAAGGCGACGAUCCGUAGCUGGUCUGAGAGGAUGAUCAGCCACAUCGGGACUGAGACACGGCCCGAACUCCUACGGGAGGCAGCAGUGGGGAAUAUUGGACAAUGGGGGCAACCCUGAUCCAGCCAUGCCGCGUGUGUGAAGAAGGCUUUCGGGUUGUAAAGCACUUUCAGUAGGGAGGAAAACCUUAUGGCUAAUACCCAUGAGGCUUGACGUUACCUACAGAAGAAGCACCGGCUAACUCCGUGCCAGCAGCCGCGGUAAUACGGAGGGUGCAAGCGUUAAUCGGAAUUACUGGGCGUAAAGCGCGCGUAGGUGGUUUGGUAAGCGAGAUGUGAAAGCCCCGGGCUUAACCUGGGGAACGGCAUUUCGAACUGUCAGACUAGAGUGUGGUAGAAGGGUAGUGGAAUUUCCUGUGUAGCGGUGAAAUGCGUU
RNAcentral lists this ribosomal RNA (658 nucleotides) under uncultured Marinobacter sp. RNAcentral's name for it is "bacterial SSU rRNA". It matches the Rfam family "Bacterial small subunit ribosomal RNA", at positions 45 to 692 of the family's 1533-position model. The record is from RNAcentral. Lineage: Bacteria; Pseudomonadati; Pseudomonadota; Gammaproteobacteria; Pseudomonadales; Marinobacteraceae.